Molecule: ribosomal RNA, 460 nt
Filed under: uncultured bacterium
Lineage: Bacteria
Description: partial 16S ribosomal RNA
Rfam family: Bacterial small subunit ribosomal RNA
Source: RNAcentral
CCUACGGGAGGCAGCAGUGAGGAAUAUUGGUCAAUGGGCGCGAGCCUGAACCAGCCAAGUAGCGUGAAGGAUGACUGCCCUACGGGUUGUAAACUUCUUUUAUCAAGGAAUAAAGUGAGGCACGUGUGCCUCUUUGUAUGUACUUUAUGAAUAAGGAUCGGCUAACUCCGUGCCAGCAGCCGCGGUAAUACGGAGGAUCCGAGCGUUAUCCGGAUUUAUUGGGUUUAAAUGGAGCGUAGGUGGAUUGUUAAGUCAGUUGUGAAAGUUUGCGGCUCAACCGUAAAAUUGCAGUUGAAACUGGCAGUCUUGAGUACAGUAGAGGUGGGCGGAAUGCGUGGUGUAGCGGUGAAAUGCUUAGAUAUCACGAAGAACUCCGAUUGCGAAGGCAGCUCACUGGACUGCAACUGACACUGAGGCUCGAAAGUGUGGGUAUCGAACAGGAUUAGAUACCCGUGUAGUC